RNAcentral lists this ribosomal RNA (864 nucleotides) under Massilia niabensis. RNAcentral describes it as "bacterial SSU rRNA". It matches the Rfam family "Bacterial small subunit ribosomal RNA", at positions 121 to 981 of the family's 1533-position model. Lineage: Bacteria; Pseudomonadati; Pseudomonadota; Betaproteobacteria; Burkholderiales; Oxalobacteraceae. The record is from RNAcentral.
GGAACGUACCCAAGAGUGGGGGAUAACGUAGCGAAAGUUACGCUAAUACCGCAUACGAUCUAUGGAUGAAAGCAGGGGACCGCAAGGCCUUGUGCUCCUGGAGCGGCCGAUAUCUGAUUAGCUAGUUGGUGAGGUAAAGGCUCACCAAGGCGACGAUCAGUAGCUGGUCUGAGAGGACGACCAGCCACACUGGAACUGAGACACGGUCCAGACUCCUACGGGAGGCAGCAGUGGGGAAUUUUGGACAAUGGGCGCAAGCCUGAUCCAGCAAUGCCGCGUGAGUGAAGAAGGCCUUCGGGUUGUAAAGCUCUUUUGUCAGGGAAGAAACGGUGGGGGCUAAUAUCCUCCGCUAAUGACGGUACCUGAAGAAUAAGCACCGGCUAACUACGUGCCAGCAGCCGCGGUAAUACGUAGGGUGCAAGCGUUAAUCGGAAUUACUGGGCGUAAAGCGUGCGCAGGCGGUUUUGUAAGUCUGUCGUGAAAGCCCCGGGCUCAACCUGGGAAUUGCGAUGGAGACUGCAAGGCUUGAAUCUGGCAGAGGGGGGUAGAAUUCCACGUGUAGCAGUGAAAUGCGUAGAGAUGUGGAGGAACACCGAUGGCGAAGGCAGCCCCCUGGGUCAAGAUUGACGCUCAUGCACGAAAGCGUGGGGAGCAAACAGGAUUAGAUACCCUGGUAGUCCACGCCCUAAACGAUGUCUACUAGUUGUCGGGUUUUAAUUAACUUGGUAACGCAGCUAACGCGUGAAGUAGACCGCCUGGGGAGUACGGUCGCAAGAUUAAAACUCAAAGGAAUUGACGGGGACCCGCACAAGCGGUGGAUGAUGUGGAUUAAUUCGAUGCAACGCGAAAAACCUUACCUACCCU